Megalops cyprinoides (Indo-Pacific tarpon) is the source of this 774-nucleotide long non-coding RNA. RefSeq lists it as uncharacterized. The record is from RefSeq and is a predicted model, not a curated record. The transcript is spliced from 4 exons. Lineage: Eukaryota; Metazoa; Chordata; Actinopteri; Elopiformes; Megalopidae.
UGAAGAACUACAGCUCUCUGGGAAAGCUGCAGUGGCAGACCCUACUCUGGAUAUUCCUGUUAUGUCACAGGCUCUCAGCUGAGGUUUGGAGUAAAAAAAAAUAUUUUAUCGCUGGGGAACAAGAAACACUGACCCUGCUAGCGCCCCCACUUGGAAGCGGAAGGGAAUUCAUCUGGGAGUGGACACCACAUGACAGCAACCGGAACGUGACCCAAAUAGCAGCUCUAGAGUGGUCUGAUGGACAGCUCUCAAUGAUUAUCACCAAUCCUUCUUUUAGGAAAAAAAACAACUUUGACAUUUCCAUGGACCAACAUUUUGAGAAUGCAGGAGUUUUUUCUUUUAAACAAAUAAAGCCAGUAUCCCUCCUGCUUGCACAGUUUGAGGUCUUUGCUUUUAAACUCACACCCUUCCGGUGGCCUGUGGUCCCCCUGGGCUCUGAUGUGAGCAGGACCUGUGAGAUGUCCCACCUGCCAGAGUCUGCCAUGCUACAGUGGGAAAAAGAAGGAGAACCUACCUACAACACCACACUGCAAUACAACAACACAGCUCACCUCAUCAUCCACAACGUGGGUCCAAACAACCAGGGGAAAUACUUUUGUGCCAUAAGGAAAAAAAAUGGAGAGCGCUUGUUCCGUGUUUACAAUGAAGUAAAUGUCGCUGAAGUUACAUAUGGCGCCUCCCACACUGUGUACAGACAGAGCUCCAACAGCAGUGAGGUGAUACUGACCUGCAGAAGUAGUUCUGGGAGGUACAAGACAGCCACGUGGCACUGGA